This 355-nucleotide long non-coding RNA is filed under the name Drosophila guanche. Lineage: Eukaryota; Metazoa; Arthropoda; Insecta; Diptera; Drosophilidae. The record is from RNAcentral.
GGAAUCUUGAGUACUUCUGUUAGAUAUUCCACUGCUACAAGGCCCUACACAGGUGGUAUUAUCACCCCAAAAUGCCCACUUCUCCGCUCUCUUGACAUAUCAGAGACACAAAAACAUUAAAAUCAUUCCACGGAAUGAAAAUCAUCACAAAAAGUAAAGGAAAACCUCUGCCAACAUAACAGUAUCCACUUUUUCAUGCAGCGAUUGUAGACACAAAAGAGCAAAAGAGACAGAGAGAAGCGAGAGAGAGAGAGAGAGAGACAAGAAUUGUAUUGCAAAUUGCAAUGUUCUGCAGCAGCAGCGACAUCCGAACAUUUGAAUGCCUUGCGCGACGAUAUGGCAGUUGUCAUCAGAG